Molecule: long non-coding RNA, 1582 nt
Organism: Mesocricetus auratus (golden hamster)
Lineage: Eukaryota; Metazoa; Chordata; Mammalia; Rodentia; Cricetidae
Exons: 3
Source: RefSeq, a predicted model, not a curated record
ACAAGUGUUAAAGUUUGUAGCUGACAAUUUCUGACUGGGGAGUCACUCCGGAAGAACUAUAUAGAUAAUUGACUUCCUUAGUUGCUCAUAUCUUGCUAUCAGUUAAGCAGCUGAUGUUUCUUGGAGCUAUUUUAUGCUAUGGCCUGGAAACGAAGGCAUUCUCAUUCAAGACAGCAGGGGCCAACGGCACCAGUGGGACAGCUCCAGGGAGACCCAUGGAGGCUCCAAGGAACAAGUCAGCAGCAAAGGCUGGUGACAGGUGAUGGCCUUUGUGUCGAAGACUCGUCUCAUUGGAAUGAACAAAGACAGGUGUCCCUUUCCCUGCCCUACCUGUGAUGGAGUUCCAAGUUCUGAGUUACAAGGUGGCAGCAGAGGAUCCCUGAGACAGCACAGCCACCAAGAGCAGAGUGUGGGCUGGAGUCAGGGAGGACUACAACACCAGCUUGUUUGUUGAAUGCAGACUUCAGUAAAUUGGCCGCAUAGACAUCUCGUGUCCACUAUGGUGCUGUCUGUGGAGGCUUGGGGAAGACUCAAGACAGCUUUUCAGCAUUUAAAUGAGGAGCCAAGCGGAAGGUAGGAGAGUGCACAGAAGGUAAGCUAAGCCUUCCACACACAGCCAAGAUCUCUGACAGAGCAAAAGCAAGGCGUCAACCACAGACCCAUCCAGCUUUCCCAAUACAAUGUGUAACAAUGAAGUAACAGUGAGUUAGGGGACUUGAUGCCAAUGAGCAGCUUCGACAGCGGGCAGGUGACAGGGAGAAGGCUCUUCAUGGAGUCAACUUAGAAACAAGGGCUAGCUUUUCUCCUCCUCCUCCUGCCUGUGGAACUGUGCUCUGCAGACAUCUCAGACUCUCCAACACUUCCAGGGAUCAAAUGACUGUCCUGCUGAAGGAUUAAGGGCCAUCCUAUCCCCUUGGCUUGGACAUUGGAAUUUUCAUCAAAAUGACUUUGGGUGUGUUGAGCAGGGAAUUGGGCAACAAGGAUUAAGUUUUAAACAGUUUACCUGGAGAACCGACCAGAGGGCCCCCUGGGGAAAGGCUUCCUUCCAGACCUCCAGCAGAGUCAUAAGCUUCUUCAAGCUUCUCUCACAUGGGAUUAACCUCUAGGGAGACACUAAGCAAGGACUUCAGGGGUCUUAGGUAGGCAGAAUGGGGGAAAAUAAGAUAAAACAUUCUCUUGCCAGCCAGAUUAUUGCCUCUUCCAAGACUCUGUCUGCUGGACAUGGAGCUCUCUUCUCCCUCCUCAUUGGCCAUCCUCGAAGGAAGGGGCAGUGUCCCCUCUGUGCUGUGUGAUUUUACUUUUCUUUUAAAAAGCAGGCUAUCCCAGAACUAAGUAGAGAAGGAUGGCUUUGCAUGCCUGACCCUCCUGCCUCUGCCUUCCAAGUAUAUGAUCAAUCAUUUUAAGGAGCUUCAUCCAUACACAGAGACAAGGCUGCUCUUACAGGGAGGCUGAAGGCCGCAGCCUAACUCAGAUGUGCCUUCCAGCAAACCUGAGGGGGGCAGCAGCCUUGAACGUUCAUGGGUACCCAAACUCUGACAACUAAUAUAAAUGUGAGGAGAACAGGUUUCUGAGAUUGGAUAGA